This 406-nucleotide ribosomal RNA is filed under the name uncultured bacterium. Its description in RNAcentral is "partial 16S ribosomal RNA". It matches the Rfam family "Bacterial small subunit ribosomal RNA", at positions 30 to 526 of the family's 1533-position model. The record is from RNAcentral.
CUUGAACGCUGGCGGCAGGCCUAACACAUGCAAGUCGAACGAGUGGCGGACGGGUGAGUAAUGUCUGGGAAACUGCCUGAUGGAGGGGGAUAACUACUGGACACGGUAGCUAAUUCCGCAUACCAUCAGAUGUGCCCAGAUGGGAUUAGCUUGUUGGUGGGGUAACGGCUCACCAAGGCGACGAUGCCUAGCUGGUCUGAGAGGAUGACCAACCUCCCAGUAACUGAGACACGGGCCAGACUCCUACGAGAGGCGGCAGUAGGGAGUAUGGCACAAUGGGCGCAAGCAAAAGGCAGCCAGGCAGAGUGUAUGAAAAAGGCCUUCGGGUUGUAAAGUACUUUCAGCAAAGAGACGUUGCACGCAGAAGAAGCGCCGGCUAACUCCGUGCCGGCAGCCGCGGAAAUUC